CUUAUCGAGAGCGGUGGAGGGAACGGCCCAAUGAAACCCGGCAACCUGCGCGGAAAAUGCGCGUAAGGUGCCAAAUCCGGCGUAGGAACACGAAAGAUGAGG
This 102-nucleotide non-coding RNA is filed under the name uncultured Agathobaculum sp. Its description in RNAcentral is "SAM riboswitch (S box leader)". It matches the Rfam family "SAM riboswitch aptamer (S box leader)". From Rfam's summary of the family: The SAM riboswitch is found upstream of a number of genes which code for proteins involved in methionine or cysteine biosynthesis in Gram-positive bacteria. The SAM riboswitch acts at the level of transcription termination control. The record is from RNAcentral. Lineage: Bacteria; Bacillati; Bacillota; Clostridia; Eubacteriales; Butyricicoccaceae.